AUUGAACGCUAGCGGGAUGCUUUACACAUGCAAGUCGAACGGCAGCGCGGACUUCGGUCUGGCGGCGAGUGGCGAACGGGUGAGUAAUGUAUCGGAACGUGCCCAGUAGCGGGGGAUAACUACGCGAAAGCGUAGCUAAUACCGCAUACGCCCUACGGGGGAAAGCAGGGGAUCGUAAGACCUUGCACUAUUGGAGCGGCCGAUAUCGGAUUAGCUAGUUGGUGAGGUAACGGCUCACCAAGGCGACGAUCCGUAGCUGGUUUGAGAGCACGACCAGCCACACUGGGACUGAGACACGGCCCAGACUCCUACGGGAGGCAGCAGUGGGGAAUUUUGGACAAUGGGGGCAACCCUGAUCCAGCCAUCCCGCGUGUGCGAUGAAGGCCUUCGGGUUGUAAAGCACUUUUGGCAGGAAAGAAACGUCGCGGGCUAAUACCCCGUGGAACUGACGGUACCUGCAGAAUAAGCACCGGCUAACUACGUG
RNAcentral lists this ribosomal RNA (484 nucleotides) under uncultured bacterium. Its description in RNAcentral is "partial 16S ribosomal RNA". It matches the Rfam family "Bacterial small subunit ribosomal RNA", at positions 30 to 507 of the family's 1533-position model. The record is from RNAcentral.